This 1139-nucleotide long non-coding RNA is filed under the name Macaca fascicularis (crab-eating macaque). Its description in RNAcentral is "lncRNA (ENSMFAG00000052524.1)". The record is from RNAcentral. Lineage: Eukaryota; Metazoa; Chordata; Mammalia; Primates; Cercopithecidae.
ACGUUCUUCGGUUUCUCAGACUGCGGGUGCGACCCCAGCAGGCGGGGCCUUGGGCCCCGGGCCCAGGUUUAGGAACCCGGGGAUCAGCUACACCGCGACCUCCUGGAUCCAGGACUGAGUAUCCUGGACAGCGCGCAUCUGGCCCUUUUUCUUCUUUUAGGGAAGGACUGCGGGUAGAAGGACUUGACUGCGGGUGGGAGUGAAUGAAGACGGUGUCCGCGGGCCCGGGUGGCCGCAGCUAACUCAGUCUCUGCGUCCCUCACUUGUUGACCCAGAGAAGUAAGCGAACGCAAUGGACGCCUCCCCCGGCAGGAGCCUCUGUACUGCGCGGGGGCAGGCGGGCGGCCCAGCCCCAGCGGAUGGAGCCCGGGCACCUGGUCACCCUGCCUCCCAGAUUCGCGGGCGCAGUGGGCACAGAAGCCCAACUUCCUUCCCUCUUCGACCCCCUUCCCUCCCUGCGAUCUGAACUGAACCUAGGACAGUUCUGAAGUUAACACCCCUCUUCCAAAGUAAAAGACCCAGACCAUAUUUUAAUUUUUUAAAAAAGAACAAGUCGACCGGGGGCAGUGGUUCACACCUGUAAUCCCAGAACUUUGGGAGGCCGAGGCGGGCGGAUCACGAGGUCAGGAGUUCUAGACCAGCCUGCCCAACACAGUGAAACCCCAUCUCUACUAAAAAUACAAAAAAUUAGCCAAGCGUGCUGGCGCAUGCCUGUAGUCUCAGCUACUUGGGAGGCUGAAGCAGGGGAAUCGCUUGAAUCCAGAGGCGGAGGUUGCAGUGAGCUGAGAUGGGGCGACUGCACUCCAACUUAGGGACAGAGCGAGACUCCGUCUCAAAAAGAAACAAAAAAGAACAAGUCAAGCGGGGUGGCUCAUGCCUGUAGUCCCAGCACCUUGGGAGGCCUAGGCGGGCAGAUCACUUGAGGUCAGGAAUGAGACCAAUCUAACCAACACGGUAAAACUCUGUCUCCACUAAAAAUACGAAAAUUGCCUGGGCUUGGUGGCACGCACCUGCAAUCCCAGAUAUUCGGUAGGCUGAGGCAGGAGAAUGAUUUGAACCCAGGAGGCGAAGGUUGCAGUGAGCCCAGAUCGCCUCACUGCACUCCAAGCUGGGUGACAAGAGCAGGACUCAGUCUCAAA